GAUGAACGCUGGCGGCGUGCCUAAUACAUGCAAGUCGAGCGAACAGACGAGGAGCUUGCUCCUCUGACGUUAGCGGCGGACGGGUGAGUAACACGUGGAUAACCUACCUAUAAGACUGGGAUAACUUCGGGAAACCGGAGCUAAUACCGGAUAAUAUAUUGAACCGCAUGGUUCAAUAGUGAAAGACGGUUUUGCUGUCACUUAUAGAUGGAUCCGCGCCGCAUUAGCUAGUUGGUAAGGUAACGGCUUACCAAGGCAACGAUGCGUAGCCGACCUGAGAGGAUGAUCGGCCACACUGGAACUGAGACACGGUCCAGACUCCUACGGGAGGCAGCAGUAGGGAAUCUUCCGCAAUGGGCGAAAGCUUGACGGAGCAACGCCGCGUGAGUGAUGAAGGUCUUCGGAUCGUAAAACUCUGUUAUUAGGGAAGAACAAAUGUGUAAGUAACUCUGCACGUCUUGACGGUACCUAAUCAAAAAGCCACGGCUAACUACGUG
Molecule: ribosomal RNA, 497 nt
Filed under: uncultured bacterium
Lineage: Bacteria
Description: partial 16S ribosomal RNA
Rfam family: Bacterial small subunit ribosomal RNA
Source: RNAcentral